Molecule: long non-coding RNA, 617 nt
Organism: Amblyraja radiata (thorny skate)
Lineage: Eukaryota; Metazoa; Chordata; Chondrichthyes; Rajiformes; Rajidae
Exons: 2
Source: RefSeq, a predicted model, not a curated record
CCAGCUGCUUUGUGAAAUGUAUUGUAUAUUCACGUCUGAAGGUAGCAGUAUCUGCCUACCAAGGUUUAGUUGACCUUGUUUUUGGUGUGGAUUCACUGUAGAUUGCAUGGUUUUCCAUUAGUUCUGACAUUGAUGGUUCACAGAGAGACCCUGGAAAUUACAGGCGACUUGCAACUUGAGCCACCACCUGGUGAAGAUAGUGGCAAGAAUUAGGAUGUUGGGUGCACCAGAGGAGCAAUGGACACUUUCUUGUCUAAAAGUUACUGUUCAAUGCAUAUUAUGAAAUAUUAGGCUUAUUCCAUCCUUUUGAUUGAUCACGAUUGUAAUGUUAUGACAGUAAUUUAAAGAUGCAACGGAAAUGGAAAGAAAUGUUCUUUUUAUCUACAUCUGUGAAUGUUAAGUAAUUGGAGAAAAGUAUAAACAAUCACUGACUAGAUGCUCAUUAUCAGACAAUUUCCUGAAAUAUGAUGAAAAAUAUCUUCAUCUUGUAUGCCAUAAGUGCUUGUCAGAUUUACUAUUUUAACUUUUUCUCAUUUUAGAUGUACCAUAGUUAAGCAGAAUCGAUCAGGGAAAGUAGUUUGUUUUUGUUUAAAAUCAAAAUCAAAACCAAAUAUUAA